Molecule: unclassified non-coding RNA, 3275 nt
Filed under: Leishmania donovani
Lineage: Eukaryota; Euglenozoa; Kinetoplastea; Trypanosomatida; Trypanosomatidae
Description: gene:unknown
Source: RNAcentral
CUCUCCUCGUUUUUUUUUGUGCGCAUGCGCGCGUGUGUGUUUGCUCCACCUUUGGCGGGCAAAAAGGCCACGCAACAAACAUAAGCAGCGCCACUGACAGCGCACGGAGCCAUAGGUGCUACACCGCACCCGCCGAUGUCCAUCGUGAGCGAAUCAAAAAAACGGAAAGCAAACACCCACACCCACCCACUCACACACACACACACACACGCGUGCUCACUCUCCUUGGCUGCCAUGGAUGGAGCUGCUGACUCAUAUUUUGCUGCCUCCCGUUCUCUAGUUGUCUUCGUCUUUGGGUUCAGCCCUGCGCCCGAUUCCGAUGCGUCUGGCAGCCUCUCCGGUUUCUCUCCCACCUUCAUAUGUCGCGGUGUGUAUUCGAUGGGUGCCGAUGCCCCAAAGCGCCGGAAAACGUUUUUCUUUUCCUCGCUUCGCUUGCUGCUCGCCUGCCACUUCUUCCUCGUCCUCCAUUCAUCUAAGAAUCGCUUCGCUUGGUGUGAUGUACGCGCCUCUGAGAUUUUUUUCUCACUUUCGCUUUGCCCUUGUCGCGGCUGGACCGAGGAGCACGAUCCCACCUCACCUCAUCGUGGGGGGGGUGCCACAAUGGCACCUUUCACCUUUUUUAUCGUUGUUCUCUGUUGCGCGAAACCGAUGACGACACUCAGCACAAUGACGGGGCACCGAAAGAAGCGAGUCUGGCGAGAUGCGGAAGACAGUUGAGUGUGUGCAUUCUCUUCUUGGUUCUGUUGAGGCGACUUCUGUGGGCUGCGUCCGCUGAGCUAGAACGAAAAAAUGCGGCAAGCAUGUGAUGUAGCCCUCACGGAGACGAGGAGAACGGAAACGAGAACCGGAGCAGAGCCAGUGGUUUCUCCUCAAUCACAUACUGUGCACCAUGCCACCUCGACCACACUCCCGCAUCGACUGACUUCCCCCUUCCCCCACGCGCGAGCGACGCGCGCGGCGAAUGGAGAUGAGGAGUGUCCACUGCGGGCGAACUUCAGAGAAACGGAUGCUCCUGCGGCUCCCCAGACCUUCUUAUCCCUUCCUAUUCUAUCUCUUGUCAGCCUGAAGGGCGACCUUAAUGGAGGCCAUAUCGACUGGCGGAUGGGAAAGUGGCAACAACAAAACUUCCAGCGAGCACGUGCUUGAAAUGCGAGUGAAAACGCCCGCCGCUCUGUGCUGUGACGUUCUCUCCCUUUCUGUCCUCAAGGCCGCAAGGGCCGCUCUACUUUCCCUCUCUUUUUUUGUUCAAUCUGUGCUGGUCCUGCCCACCGCACCGCACUCCGCACGCCCUGUGUUGGAGGCGGGCCUCUAACCUAUGGCUUCGUGAGUGUAUUUCCCCAGAAAACGAAGAAAGGGUGCUACAGGUUUAUAUGCACGUGUGCGUUACGCCAAAACAUCCGGGGUAUCUCCACGGGCAUCCACUUGAGGCGGCAUCUCCCAGCUGGGGUGGAUGCGGUGGGCGCCCCUCCCCCGGCCCUGAGAAAUCGUUUGCCCCCCCCCUCCAUCCCCCGCACAAACUCUCACUACACUUUUAUCUCCCUUUCACCAUUUCCGCGGAGGUGCCUCUCCGCAGCGACGCAAAAAUAUUCUCUUUUUUUUUCACGCUCAUUUCGUUUCAUGUGCAAUUACCUCGCUUUCUUUCUUUUAUUUCGGGUGCCGUCGUGCACUACCCCCACCCGUCACCUCUUUCCUCUGUCUGUCUUGUUUUCUUGGAAAUAUGAUUCAUGCUUGAUUGCGAAAGGGCAAAAAAAACAAGUAAUGGAAGUGGAGGAGGACAGAGAGGCACUCUGUGAGUAGGCUGAUGAGGUGAACACAUCCGUUUUUGUUGCAGCUGGUGCUUUUUUUUUACGCGCAUGCAUUUGUAUGCUUGUAUGUUUGGUUUUGUUCAUGGGCGAAACGGCAGUUUGAUGGAGAGCGAAAGAGAGUGAUUGAUGGCGGGGGUAGGGACGUGCAUGCUCGUGGACGUUCUGUGCUGUGUUGUUGUACGUCCAGAAUAAUGUAUUACCUCUUUUUUUUUUUGUUUUGCCCCGCCGCUUUUGUAUCCUCGAGUGCUUUCGAGCAGCGGUGGAGUUUUUGCCUCCCUUCUUCCAAAAAGCCCAGUCGGAUAGGCUGCCUAAUAAAGGACAACAAAAGCGCCACUUGACCUUCCACAUAUUAUCCUCUCUCCCCUACCCUUCCCUUGUCCAGUACCACCACCUCUCCGCCACCUUUCUCUCUCUCUGCUUCGACUUCUUCCUGUAUCGCUUUCCUUCUCGCUUGAAGUGUAUGUCACUCCCACGAGAUGGUGCUGGUGUGUCAUAAUGAGCGACACAGGGCGAGAAAUGUGGUUCCAAAGACGUGGAAGGGUAUGUGUCUGUGCUUGUGCGUCUUAGCCGGUGACCGUGCCAAAUCUGGCGGACGCGCAUAUAUACAGGACCCAUAGGUACCAGAGGAUGAGGGUUGGAGAGAGGGUAGAGAGGUGAAAGGCGGUUAAUUCGUGCCUUGCUCAAAGACAAGAUGGAGAUGGAGCAAAAUCUCCCUACGCGAGCGAUUUGGCAACGCUGGCGGGAAGGACAAGGCUUCUGUGGAGCAGCAGAGCGAAUGCACGCGCGUCUGCGGCUCGCGCCAGCUGCUCUGAUGGAAAGCUCCUUCAUCUCCUUCGAUCGAUCGCGAAGAAGCUCCGCAUGCGUCAAGGUGGGGAACGGGCCUCGAGCGUGCGAGCCAAAGUUGCUUUCCACGGUGGAAAUGCCACGCCCGGGCAAGUGCACCGUGACCUGGCGUUGAUGUGGCCUCAACUCUGGCGUCUGCAGGAGCGUGCUUCACUAUUAUGUGGGCGGAUUUACUCACAGCAUUGUCCCCACUGCUGUCUUCGCUUCACUUUCCUUUGACUUUUUUUUGGGAGCGUCAUCUCUGCUCAGGUGUUUUCGUGUGUGUGUGUGCUGCUUCCCGUUUCGCCCGCACCAUACAGACGGUGAACGGCAACGAAAAGGCACACCAUCGCAGGCGGAAGGUAGGUGAAGAACAACUGCGAACAGUAUUCAUCACACGCACUGCACUCGCCUGCGCAUGUUUGCGUGUACAGCAACCGAAGCCAACGGCCGCAACAGAAGACAACGAGGAGAAGGAAGCUGGACUGCUAGAACGAGCGAUCACGACAAAAAAAAAGGAAACCGCCGUUAUCCAUUCACUUACGCGUUUCUUUCUCCACCUCGCUUCUCCCUACUUUUCCUCUCCCUCCCCCCCACCGAAUAACGCCCACCGACACAACUCGCGCACGAUCCUACGUGUGCUAAAAG